GAUGAACGCUAGCGGCAGGCUUAACACAUGCAAGUCGAGGGGCAGCGGGGAGGAAGCUUGCUUUCUCCGCCGGCGACCGGCGCACGGGUGAGUAACACGUAUGCAACCUGCCCCUGUCAGGGGGACAACCCGCCGAAAGGCGGGCUAAACCCGCGUACAUGCCACCGGGGCAUCCCGGAGGCAGGAAAGGCUUCGGCCGGACAGGGAUGGGCAUGCGGCGCAUUAGGCAGUAGGCGGGGUAACGGCCCACCUAACCGACGAUGCGUAGGGGUUCUGAGAGGAAGGUCCCCCACACUGGUACUGAGACACGGACCAGACUCCUACGGGAGGCAGCAGUGAGGAAUAUUGGUCAAUGGUCGGGAGACUGAACCAGCCAAGCCGCGUGAGGGAGGAAGGUACAGAGUAUCGUAAACCUCUUUUGUCAGGGAACAAAGGCGGGGACGUGUCCCCGGAUGAGUGUACCUGAAGAAAAAGCAUCGGCUAACUCCGUGCCAGCAGCCGCGGUAAUACGGAGGAUGCGAGCGUUAUCCGGAUUUAUUGGGUUUAAAGGGUGCGCAGGCGGUCUGUUAAGUCAGCGGUCAAAGCCCGGGGCUCAACCCCGGCCCGCCGUUGAAACUGGCAGUCUCGAGUUGGAGAGAAGUAUGCGGAAUGCGCGGUGUAGCGGUGAAAUGCAUAGAUAUCGCGCAGAACUCCGAUUGCGAAGGCAGCAUGCCGGCUCCACACUGACGCUGAGGCACGAAAGCGUGGGUAUCGAACAGGAUUAGAUACCCUGGUAGUCCACGCAGUAAACGAUGAAUGCUGGCUGUCCGGGGGGAUUGACCCCUGGGUGGCGAAGCGAAAGCGAUAAGCAUUCCACCUGGGGAGUACGCCGGCAACGGUGAAACUCAAAGGAAUUGACGGGGGCCCGCACAAGCGGAGGAACAUGUGGUUUAAUUCGAUAAUACGCGAGGAACCUUACCCGGGCUCAAACGGGGAGUGACUCAGGCAGAGACGCCUGUUUCCCACGGGACACUCCCCGAGGUGCUGCAUGGUUGUCGUCAGCUCGUGCCGUGAGGUGUCGGCUUAAGUGCCAUAACGAGCGCAACCCCCGCGUGCAGUUGCUAACAGAUAACGCUGAGGACUCUGCACGGACUGCCGGCGCAAGCCGCGAGGAAGGCGGGGAUGACGUCAAAUCAGCACGGCCCUUACGUCCGGGGCGACACACGUGUUACAAUGGGUGGUACAGCGGGAAGCCAGGCGGCGACGCCGAGCGGAACCCGAAAUCCACUCUCAGUUCGGAUCGGAGUCUGCAACCCGACUCCGUGAAGCUGGAUUCGCUAGUAAUCGCGCAUCAGCCAUGGCGCGGUGAAUACGUUCCCGGGCCUUGUACACACCGCCCGUCAAGCCAUGGGAGCCGAGGGCGCUUGAAGUGCGUCGCCGCGAGGCGCGCCCUAGAGCGAAAUCGGUGACUGGGGCU
RNAcentral lists this ribosomal RNA (1456 nucleotides) under uncultured bacterium. RNAcentral describes it as "partial 16S ribosomal RNA". It matches the Rfam family "Bacterial small subunit ribosomal RNA". The record is from RNAcentral.